Molecule: long non-coding RNA, 550 nt
Filed under: Mus musculus (house mouse)
Lineage: Eukaryota; Metazoa; Chordata; Mammalia; Rodentia; Muridae
Description: RIKEN cDNA 2310040G24 gene, transcript variant 2 (2310040G24Rik)
Source: RNAcentral
GCCGUCCCUGGGGAGGGAAGCCAGUGGUUAGCAGACAGGACUUCUGUCUGUCCCUUUACAUGGGCACACAGUAACCAAGCAAUUACAAAGGAUUGUUAAACUGUGCAGCAGAUGGAAGAAGAGGAAGCUAAGGCAGCGUCUCUCCUUACUAAGAAUAAAACUGGAAGCGUGAGAGAGGCUCAGCUAACCAAGUUUCUGCAAGAGGAGGCGUUCAGGGCCCAAGCAGAACCAACACUGGUUUGGAGGAUGAUGCCUGAGAUUCCACCAGCCCUUGGGAGUCGGGCCAGGACUGCUACGAUCUUGUCUCAAAAGAACAACACGGAGACAGUGAGAUGGCUCAGCAGGUACAAGCGGCUGCUCUUGCAUGAGGACCCGAGUUUGAUCUGCAGAUCCCACAGUGAAAGAAGAGCCAAUUCAAGAUUGUCCUCUGACCCCAACUAAAUGUGACUGCCAUACAGGGAGAAGACAGUUCACAGAUCAUAAUAAAACCUAAAAGGAAACCUAUCUACAUUAAGAUAAAGACUAUAAUAAAGAUGAUAUGUCAAGUUGA